UUACAUCCAGUACCUGCCUGUGGAAUAAAGAAAAAAGAACAUAAAAUUUUUGCUCUCAGAAAUCGACAAACGCCGGUGACGGUGUGACGGUGGUGAGAUUCCGGUAAACAGCCUGGGUCUUUUCUUCCUCUUUCUAAAUCUUCAAGUAUUUUCAUUUUAAUUUGUUUUCUUAUUGAUGCAUCUUAGUUUAGUUUGUUAUUCGCUCUCAGAAAUCGACAAACGCCGGUGACGGUGGUGAGAUUCCGGUAAACAGCCUGGGUCUUUUCUUCCUCUUUCUAAAUCUUCAAGUAUUUUCAUUUUAAUUUGUUUUCUUAUUGAUGCAUCUUAGUUUAGUUUGUUAUUCGCUCUCAGAAAUCGACAAACGCCGGUGACGGUGGUGAGAUUCCGGUAAACAGCCUGGGUCUUUUCUUCCUCUUUCUAAAUCUUCAAGUAUUUUCAUUUUAAUUUGUUUUCUUAUUGAUGCAUCUUAGUUUAGUUUGUUAUUCGCUCUCAGAAAUCGACAAACGCCGGUGACGGUGGUGAGAUUCCGGUAAACAGCCUGGGUCUUUUCUUCCUCUUUCUAAAUCUUCAAGUAUUUUCAUUUUAAUUUGUUUUCUUAUUGAUGCAUCUUAGUUUAGUUUGUUAUUCGCUCUCAGAAAUCGACAAACGCCGGUGACGGUGGUGAGAUUCCGGUAAACAGCCUGGGUCUUUUCUUCCUCUUUCUAAAUCUUCAAGUAUUUUCAUUUUAAUUUGUUUUCUUAUUGAUGCAUCUUAGUGGUUAUUCAAAUUUACAAAACACAUAGUUAGUUCAAAUUUUCUUGAUUUGACUCCUCUCCUUUUGUUUAGUUUUUAUGCAUUAUGCAAUCAAUAUUAUAAGUGAGCUCAUUGAAUUUACAUUGUUGGCAUAGAUGAUGCAUAAUCAAGGAUAGGGAAUUAAAUAUUUUAUUUUUUCCUAAUUCAAAAGAUUUUUCUCACACGUUCCAAAUUGAACUUUCUUCCCCCAUUCACUUCUCUUAUUUGUAUCAACAUUCAAACCACAAAUUUCUUAGAUGUUGCGAUGUUAUCUAAGUCAGGUAUGUGUUAUCAUUUGUCAUUUUUUUUGUUGAUUUUAUGGAUUAAGCUGUAGAAAUGAGUUGAUUUUUGCUGUAUUAUGGUUAAUUAUUGAUUAAUUAUUUGAAUGUGUGGAUUUGUUUGGAUGGUUGUUGAUUUUUAUGUGAAUUUCAUAUCUGAAACAUGGUGUUGCAUGUGUGAUGGUAUGUGAAAAUUGGGGGUUUUGGUGGAGAGUGUUUGAAUUAAGGAAUUCUAAUGGAAAUUAGUGUAGAAAAGGGAAUAAUCACCUUAGAUGAAGAGAGUGGUAAGAGGAGUAAUCACCUUAGAUGGAAAAAAGUGUUGGUUUAAGGUAGUCCACAUUGAAGAUGAACCAAUUGUUCAGUAUGAAUAGAUUUAGUUUAGUUCUAACUUCACUACAAUCACUAUCUUACCAUCAGAUCGCUAAUCGCUGAACGAAAGGGCAUCUUCUUCAUUCUACAUUCUAAAUUCAUUCAAUUCGUAAUUUAUUUCCACUAAUUAUAUCUCCACAUUUUCAAUUUUCUUUUGAAUGUUUUUUUUUAAGAUUAGGGCUUUUGUUCGAGAGAUCAAAUUGGCGUAUAGUCCAAAAUUCUUAUUUAAUGGAGGUCGCAGCCAGCGUCGCGUCCUCACGUUGCGUUUCUCUUCUGAUGCCUUCUUUACAGUUUUCCCGGAAAGAGUGGUGCGCUGUUUCUGAACAUCCUGUUCGAAACUCUGGCGACGAGGUAAUCCUUCACUCAACUUGCUUGCAUUGUUUCUUUUUUUCUCUUUAGUCUUAGAUGUUAGGUUGUUAUCUGUUUAUCUAUAUAUCUUGAGGUUUAAAUAAAAAGUUUGUGUUAUAUAGGAUUUGGAGCGAUUUAAGUUAGGGCGAUUGGAUGAGAGAUUGACAUAUGAGGUAAUGCAUGUUCCUUGAGGUCUUUGGUCCAUCUCUCCAUCGAUCCACUCUCUGCACGUUUCUGUAAAUACCCAUCAUCGCCGAAAUUUCCAUUGCCACUGAAAUUACCCUAUGGCUACUGCAACUGAUAGUCGCUACUUUGAAUAACUUCCUUAAUUUCUCAAAUUUGGGAACCGCUCUGUACACAUAGGUCUCUUAUACUUCAUGGCCCUUGCUGCCCUCUCAUGCUUACAUGCAUAACUUUUGUUGAACUUAGUAUCAGAAGGGUAGUGAGGAGCAAUUCAAUUUCACGAUCACAAAAAAGGACCAUCACAAUCUUUGAGUUCCAAAGGUUAACUCAUUUAGAAUUGUUUAGCUUCUUGAUUAACUUUAUUGAUGUUUAAUUUAGCAUAUAUGUGAAAAUUAUUUUCCCCCUUUUCUUUUUAAAAUUUUUGUUUUUUUUAUGGAUGAUUAAGUAUUGGAUUUUUUACCUGGGUAUUUUUCAUUUUUUACUAGGAUUGGUUUUUGUAGAUUUUGUAGUUGGUUUGAAAAAAAACUCAUCAAUGUUGGUUAAUAAAUGUGUUCUAUCAGCAGUUGGUUUAUUUGGAGUGCUGACUCCUAUUGUGUUAAUUUGAAGUUAAUUAGAUUGUGCAUAUAGUUGUUGUAGUUUAUUUUAGAUGAUAUAAUGUGUGUUCUGAAAUCUGAUGCAAUAGUAUGAGAUGAAGAUCCAGAAGCGGUUCAUUGAAGAUGGUGAAUAAUGUCAAUCUAACGAAUCAGGUUCUUUCGACCAAAAACCUCAUUGAAGCCUCUCUAAUGGGUAACAACUAUUUCUUUGAUGGGUGUUUGAAUCAAUUAAAAAAGCCAUUUGACGGAAUUUAUUUAAUUUUAGCUUAGAAUUAGUUGGUUUUGGUCAGAUAGUUUUAUACCUCACUGAAGCCUCUCUAAUGGGUAACAAACUAUUUCUUUUAUGGGUGUUUGAAUCGAUUAAAAAAGUUAUUUAACGAAAUUUUAUUUAAUUUUAGCUUAGAAUUAGGUUAUUUUGGUCAGGUAGUUUUAUGCUUUCUUUAUAAUAUUUUUAGUUUUUGUUUGGAUGCUGGAAAGAUCAAGUGAGGAAAAGAAACUGAAAAAACGAAAGGAAAAGGUAUUCUUAAUAAACUCAAGGAUGCUAUAAAGAUCAAGUGAGGAAAAGAAACUGAAAAGAAAGAAAGGAAAAGUCUUUCUUAAUAAACUCAAGUAGAAUUUUAUUAUGUACUACUAUCAUAUAAAAAGUAUAACUGUAUAAGUAAUAAUGCUCAAAUUUAGUGUAAUGGACUGUAGAUAAAACUCUUAUAGCUUUAACAUUUCAUUUUCUUUUCUACUGUCCUUUCUGAUUUUUAUUUGAAGGGUUAUCUCUAUGUAAAAGUAGGAGUAAGCUUUGAGCCGUGAAAAAUUUGGUAAUUUCAGUUGUUAAGUUUUAAAAUGCUAAUUUAUAGCUUUUUAAUUGUUACAGUAGCUUAUGAUCCCCCCUCCCAAAAAAUAAAAAUAAAUUACUUUUCUGUAUAUCAUAAUAUGUUCUGAAUGUGUUUAUAGAUUUAAGAGUUUUCUUUCAAAANNNNNNNNNNNNNNNNNNNNNNNNNNNNNNNNNNNNNNNNNNNNNNNNNNNNNNNNNNNNNNNNNNNNNNNNNNNNNNNNNNNNNNNNNNNNNNNNNNNNACUUAGGAAAGUAAUCUACUACAUGGCCAGAAUAGUUUAAAAACAUUACAUUUGGGUUUAAAAUAAUUCGAGGACCUCAAUUUGUGUAGUUGGUAUAUAGAGAACAAAUAGCAGAAUCAUGUGACACAAGUCUUGGCGAUUAUAGUUUCUUUUCCUUGAAUUUGAUGAAACAUUUUAUAAAUAUUGAGUGUUAUAACUAUUACUUACUUUGGCUGACUUGGUACACUGUAAGUGUUUGAAAUAUUGCCACGUAGAGUUUGUUCUAAAUGCUAUGUGAAUCUGCAGGUCUAUAUCCUUUGCUAAAUUUUUUUUGUUAUACUUUAUUUAUUUCAGUUAUGUCAAUAUAAAUCCUAACUUUGCAUCGCUGACAAUUUUGUUCUGAUUAGAAUGCAAUAUGAAGUGUUAUGGGGCAUAGAAGUUCUAUAGAUUAACUAAAUAUAUCUUUAAAUCAAUUGGCUUAGAUUGCAGUUGGCUUAAGUUCUUAUUUCAAGGUAGGACUGUAGGUGUAAGUCAAUUAAUCGAUCAAAUUAUGUUUCCUUCUAAUGGUUCAUAGCUCGAAAUUAAGCAAGCUUGAAGGUAGGAGCUAGAAGGGAACUAAUGUAUAGUUAAAACCUCAUAAUGCCAGGGGUAGCUUGAGCAUUAUACAUUCAUAUGUUGUCUUCAGUAAUUGAAAAUAUGGGCUCACUCUGUUGCAAACACUGACACGAUCCAACUGAUACUGGAGAAAAUGUUCACGUAUAGAUGCUUGAUGUUUUUAUUGUUUGCAUUAUUUUUUGUAGUCUUUGUUAUAGUAACUCAGCAAAUCUAUUACACUAUAUGUUCAUCUUCUCAUUUUAUAUACCGUAUAAAGGCUUAACUUUAUUUUUUAAUAUAAACUUUCAGACUGCAGAGAUAGAAAUGCAAAAUAAGCUAGAAACAAAGGCGAAGAGACAUAUACAAAAACGUCUAUUACUUGGUAUAUGUUCCUCAAGUUGGGAUUUUCACUAAGUUAUACUUUUUAUUAUUGUAUUCUUAUUUAUUUUCAUCGAGCUCAAUGUACUGACCUGAUAUCCCAAAUGCACCACUCCUUCCAUUUGCUAUGUUUUUUCAAACUGAAAGUUACAGAUUGAUGUUUACUAAAUCUCGCUUGCUUCGUAUUGCACAAAUUCUUCUCAGACUUGUCGUUAAACUUCAUGGAUUUCAUGUUUUUGUUGUUGGCAAUUCAACAAAUAGUUGAAUGUCAAGUAAUAAAUUUCAUUUUGCAUCUCAUUGUGUUUUUAGACCCUUGAAAAAAUUUCAUUAAUUUGUUAGGUUGAAUGAAACUUAUAUAUUUGAUUGAGAAGGAGAGGAUGUUGCUACAUAGUAUUUGGAAUCAUUUAAAUCCUUUUAUCCACAUUGUCUAAUGUUCAAUCCAUAUAUGCCCAUUAAUUUUGAGAAUUUUUUAUUCAAUUUCAACUAUUAAUUUUUUGUUAUUUUAAUGCCACAUCAAUUGCAUCCUUAGAAUCUCAUUUUUAUUUGUUUAUUUACUUGAUUUGCAUGCUGCAGGUGGUUGCAUUUGUUACAUUUGGAAAUCAUUAAUCAGCAAUAGCGGCUUUGCAUUCACUAAAUAUGAGAAACAAUUAGUAUUUUAUAUUUUCAAUAUAUUUGUCAUUUUGUAAACUUUACGUAUA
Molecule: long non-coding RNA, 5258 nt
Filed under: Panax ginseng (ginseng)
Lineage: Eukaryota; Viridiplantae; Streptophyta; Magnoliopsida; Apiales; Araliaceae
Description: long non-coding RNA (PGIN_LNC001223)
Source: RNAcentral